Cryptotermes secundus is the source of this 4711-nucleotide long non-coding RNA. RefSeq lists it as uncharacterized. The record is from RefSeq and is a predicted model, not a curated record. The transcript has 2 exons. NCBI's taxonomy places the organism in Eukaryota, Metazoa, Arthropoda, Insecta, Blattodea, Kalotermitidae.
AUACUUCCUCUCCCCACGUCUUCAUGGCAGGGUGCCUAGUUAAUUAAUCACAGAGACAACUUUACCUUUAUCUUUAACAGCUGUGUUGCCCAGGCCUGUUACUAUUGAAAAUUAGAAUGUGCCAUAAAUUUAAUAAAUAAAUAGUACUUCAUUACAGAUUACAACAUUUGAAACAGAGCUGGCUGUAGAUAUGGCAGCCAGGUAAUCCCUGGACCACAGAAGUGAGGCACAAAAUCAGAAUAAAUGGCUGGAGUCUGAUUCUCUGCUGGGACAGAUUUUCUCUCUGCAACCAUACUGAGACUACUUCUUGGGCCCAGUCCACUUUAUCCAGUGGUUUAUGGGAACUUUUUUCCCUCGUGUAAAACAGUGAUGACAAGAAACUGAAUACUUACUUCCAUCCAGUGCAAAGGUUAGGAAUGCAUGGGGUUAAUCUCUGCUUGCACAAAUAUCGUUAUUGCAAAUUAAUAGCAUUCAUGUUAAUUACAGGACAGUGACUCUAAAUCUGGAAUACUGUGUUCCAUAAAUUGUAAGAGGUGUGGAACUAGUCUUCAGAUCAUCCCUGCUUAAGGGUUAGUUACAAUAAAUCUUAGUUUAUUCCUCCAUUCUACAAAUAAUUCUGCUGGUGGCAACUCUGAUUAACAUUCUGUAAGAGUCACUGGUCUGACACAAGGUUAGUCUGCCCUGUAGAUCACCUGCAAAACAUCUAUUUCAUUUCAUUUAUUCACCUUCCAUAAAUCCGGUCAAGAGUACAUUUUCAUGCUGAUGUGGAGAUCGUCCUAAGAUCUAAGUCACAAGGAAAGCAGAAUGUAAUUAUUUCACAUUACAUAAUUUUAGUACGAAAUUAGUAAGGUGUUCCCAGGUAAGUUGAUUAUUAUGAAGGUUUCAUAAAAACAUGUGAUAACUUGCAUACAAUAGCAUAGUUAGCAGUUGAAAAUUCAAAGGAUAAAUAUGGCAGUUGCCAUCUCUAACUGCAGUUUCCACAGAUAAUUCAUCAUGGAUCCACUCACAGACAUUAUACCUCUUUAGGGACACCAAAAUCACAAUUUCACUGAGUAUGAAUGUAAUAUGCUUGAGAUGUUCUGGAGAGGCAGCUUGCUAGAAUAAUCAUGAUAAUAAAAUUCCAUGGGUACCUUUUUCCAACAAAGGUCAACACUGUAAUAUUGAUCGAUGACACUGCCGUUUAUUGCUGCCAUCUUCUGAUCCUAUCACAACUAACUGAUAUUUAGUUUCACAUUUGAUUUCCAUGGAAAUGACAAACAUUACAACAAACACUGCCUUGCCUAAUCUAAUUAUAUAUUGAUUAUUGAACACCUGCAUCCUGCAGUGACAUUCAUGUGAAAGUUGCGAGAAAAUGGAAAAUGAUCUGGUGGUGACAACUUCAGUUAAUAUUAUAUCAGCUAGGAAACAGAAAAUGCUGUGGAAGUAGUGAGCUGACCAAUCUGUGAAGUUGCAUUAAAGAUUGUACUGCAUAUCUAGUGAUAAGCUAAUGCAGCGGGGCACUCAAAUACAAUACUGUGAAACCCCUUACACUUAAACAUACAACCCUUCAAAGCACAGUGGAAUCUGUAUGUGCCAUCUGGUUUUAACAUACAAAUUCGCCACAGUAUAUGUAUGGAUAAAAUAAGAUUCCAACAAUAAAAGGUGUUUAUUUCCCUCAACAGCAUCAACUGAUUGGCCUUCAUAAUAGAGACAUAAUAUUUUCUGUGACAGAAAUGAAUAAAAAACUAUUAACAUUAAUGAUAGCAGAAAGUAAUUUGUUUUGUUUUUAAUUAUUUUAAAAUACAUAAAUUUAUAUUUGUGUAUUGUAUUAUCAGGCAUUAACUACUUUUGUCAAUAUUUAGUGUUUUUAUUUCUAUGUACUGGGUAUGAACGAGGAUUCUGUCACAGAAAAUAUGAGCAUAUUACUAAUGCUGUAGUAUAGUUGUGUACAUUAUGAAAACCAGGCAUGGAAAACAUGUCUUUACUUUUGCAUCCUGUUGUGUAAAAUGGAUGGUCUCCAGAACAAAUCUAUAGAAAACCUGGUACAGUUUGGCAGGCUAGCCUUGUGUAUGACUUUCUCUUACUCAAAGGCAAAAAGAUGUACAGAUAUAAUAAUAUGAUAACUAAGUGUCUUAUACAGAGAAUGAGAGGCAUUGCUGUCCCAUUGUUGUUUAUCGCUGUGCAGAUAUACGUAUCCUGUUAUCUUCUGCAUUGUAACAGCAAACUUUUCUACAAAUCAAAGUGAAUCAUAUGUCUUUGUAUUGCCAACUUUUUCUAUACUGCAAGAUCCAUAUAAAAGUGCCACAGAAAUGGCAUUAUUAAAAAGAGAAUCUUUGUCUUUCUACACAAAUAUGAAAAUCAAUAAAAAAUAAAAGCAUAUAAUUGCAUAAGAUGGUCACAUAAUAGCUGUAGAAUCAGAUGUGUGUAUGGGUAAUUGUGUGAUUGUUUUAAUGUGUCAAUGAGAAUUAAAAUUUAUUUAGAUAAGAAAUGUCUGGUAAUUCUGUGUUCUAACCUACAAUUUUUAUACCUCAGUCCUUUUUCCACCUUUACCUCUCCUCCACUUGCCAUUAGAAUGAACUAGAUAUUGAAUUACAGCUCUUCUCUCAAAAAUGGCAUAUUCAACCAAUGGAACACAUAUUUUUAUAUUAUUCUUGGAGUUGGAUGAGACUGAGUCCCUUGGAACUACAGCCAUAGAUGGACAUCUUGUACCAUCCCAAGAUGAUAUACAUAGAGAAUCAUUAGUGGAAUGAUAACUGAGAGGCAAAGACUGACAACUUCAGAGGAAAACAUAAUUAAGCAUAUUCAUAAACUUAAUUGUCUUUAUGUCAGGACACACAAAAUCAUCUUGUUCCAGCUUGAGCUCUCCAUAAUAAACACAAAGGGAAAAGCAGAUUCUGUUUAUUUCUUGCAGUUCUUUUAUAUGUACUUAGGCCUUCAUCUUUAAUGAAAACACAGCUCACUGCUGCUGACUUACAUGUACAAAUCGGAACAAGAAAAUAUUUUGCCCUAAUGUGGUUAGCCUAAAUUUUCUCAGCUAUGAAAUAUCAUCAAAUCUUGAUGCAUUUCCUCGGACUAAGUACAGAUCUGCUCUUUAUAUAUAUAUAUAUAUAGCUUUAGCUACUUUCACAGAUAAUGCUAAGCUACUCUACUAACAGAUUCUCUUGAGAGGUGUGACAUCUCAGGACUUGAUUAAUGUGUCAUCUGUCAGUCUCCCAAAGGAAGCAGUAGAGGGAAUAGCUAUUCUAAGGUUUUCUUCAGUCUUAAAAGACAAAUGCUUUAACAAUGAUGAUAAGGGCACAAUUUAUUUCCAAAUCAUUCCCAAUUCAUCAGACAUCAACAGCUUCCUAUAAUACCGAUUUUGAUACCACAUAACCUCAGUAGUUUAUGAAAACAUGGUAAAUGUUCCUUUUUUUCAUUUAUUGGCCUGAUUAUCAAUUUGAGAGAUGGAAUCAUUACCCUUGAUGACCAUCUGCAAGGUUACAGCUUCACUGUCAUAGCUGUCAUAGCUACAAGCAUUGACACAGCCCCCGUAAUCAAUGUUCCAUUACCCAACUAUCAGAAAACAUUUAUUUGGAAUCUGGGUUUGGAGAGUCCAGCAAGUGCCAUGUAUGACCCUACAACACGUCAUAAACAAAAGAUUUUAAAAGUCUACAGUAAUACUGAAACCACUAGUUUUUGAACAAAUUUUGUAUUAUGCCAUGCUUUCCUCUGAUAUUAACCAAUGCUAUCAAGCAGACAGAGAAAUUAUGUUAACCAUAAAGGAAGCAAUGGAAAAGGAUGAGGGUCAAAGUUUAUUUACAAGAAACCAGAUCUUAUUGGUAUAGCAGUAAAGUUGAAGUGAGGGUGGAUUAGGAAAUUUCUUCAGAGGUAGUUGUGAACACUUUAUAAUGCAUAGUACCAAUGCUGUCCUCACAUCUUUAUUCAUAUUCAUGGUUAUGUUCUAUAUUGGCUUCUGUGGGUUUGAAAAGUUUAUAUUAUUUGGUAGAGCUUCUCUAAAGUUGUCUGCCUCCUUUGCAGCUGAAUCAGGAUGUGGGCUAUAGCUGAAGAAACGUUACCUAUCUACCAGAAUACAUGGCAUCACAACCCAGAAAACAACAAUCUUGUUACUACUGAGAUAACCUCAAAUUUCAGAAUGAUAGCGACAGUCUGGAACAAGGCCCGUGAAUAAUAUUAUUAUGUAUGUCAUUACCAUCAUAAUUACCAAGAGACAGUAAUCUUCAAUGGUCUUGUGGAUUUCAUGUAGUCUGAUAGUUCCUCCUACUGGACUACAUGGUGCAACAUUGCAUAAGAGAGGGCUCUUUAACCGCUGAUAUGCCUGCAUGACACAUUUCAGUUUUCACGAGGUCUAUCAAAUGCAGUGAACUAUGCACCACCAUAAUUCCACAAUUAAAUGGUGGCAAAAAAAUUAAAUUAGAGAGUUUUAUGUAUAACUGUUUAAAUAAUUUACCCAUGAAGGAAUAUAUUUAUUUCUAUGGCCCUACAAAAGUAUUUUAUUAUUGAAAUUAGCAGAAAACUGAAACGUUUAAAUUGACACUAUAUAAUAUUGAUAUUGACAGUAUUGUUAAAUAACCAACUCAAUUCCAUAACCAUUUAAAUCUCUGCCAAAAGUAAAUUGUGUAAAUGUUUAUUUAUAUACAUUUUUAUAACUAUACAUGGCAUGAAUGCGUUUAUAAUUUUUGGACAAGGAUAAGCACUGUGUACUUAGUUCUGUACUGUGGCAUUCUCAAGAUCU